RNAcentral lists this long non-coding RNA (1055 nucleotides) under Pongo abelii (Sumatran orangutan). RNAcentral's name for it is "lincRNA". The record is from RNAcentral. Lineage: Eukaryota; Metazoa; Chordata; Mammalia; Primates; Hominidae.
GGAUAUAGGAGGCUCUGCAACAGCAUAUUCUACAAAGAAAAAGAUAAAUGAACAGAAUUCACUCUAAGAUUCGCCAUGGAUGUUUACUAGUCAACUUGAUGUCCCAAACCAUCUGCCUAUCUAAUACAGCUGAUCUUAAGUUCAUGCUUCACAGCUAUUGGAUGCCCCUUAACCAAAGACUUAGGGCUCAAAUAUUUGAAGAACACUGGAGUCAGGAGACCAGGAUUUCAGAUCUGACUGACACUAACUAGGCUCACCUGGGAGAAACCAGCUGCUCUGUAGGAAAUGCAAUGAUCCUGCGAACACCAUGCUAUGGGAAGCCCAAGCCAUGUGCAGAGGCCCUGGAGGAAGAGAUUCAAUGUGGCGAGCAAGAGACCACAUGCGUGAGGAAGCCAUCUUAGAAAUGGAUCCUUCAUCCCAUCCAUUCCAGUGUUCCAUGAAGAGCCCAAGGCUCUCAGGAACUGAAGCCCAAAGUGCUUAGUCAUCCAAGAUAUAUAUUACCUUACAGAGGAAGAAACUGGAACAUUUGUUCAGACUGCAGAAGAGCCCCUUUCUCUGCUGCUGUUGCUGCCAUCAACAGUAAACACUAGAAGUUUAGGAGCUGAAACCUCAUUGAUUGGCAGACUGCUCUGUCAAGACUAUGGAAUCAAUGGUAGUUUCUCAACAUGUGCUUUGGAGAAGAAGGGAAGACAAAUUAUCUGAGGUUCUCUAUAUUCCAGGAGGCCUGAACCUCCAGGAUUAGAUCCCCAGGUGAGCAGCUGACUCAGUUCUCACAUCUGCUGCCCUGCCCUCGUUCUGGAGUGACUGUCAGAAGGGGAUUGAGCCUCAGCCACCUGGCCUAGGGCCAGUCCUCCUCUCCAACAACCCAGAUCCUGGAGUUGUGUGCCUAGUUUUGGACUUUCCUUUCCAUCAAAUGACUUUCCCUCUAGAAAGUCCUUUCAUCUCUCCUGCAGGCAGCAUCUGUUGGAUUCACCCUAGUCCAGGAUUAAUCUAUGGCCAGAGGGCCACAUCCAGACCACUACCUGUUUUGGUAAAUAAAGUUUUAUCAGAACAUA